RNAcentral lists this small RNA (380 nucleotides) under uncultured bacterium. Its description in RNAcentral is "bacterial SSU rRNA". It matches the Rfam family "Bacterial small subunit ribosomal RNA", at positions 1 to 349 of the family's 1533-position model. The record is from RNAcentral.
CGGAUCUUCUCCUUCGGGAGAAGGUUAGCGGCGGACGGGUGAGUAACACGUAGGCAACCUGCCCCUUUGAUCGGGAUAACAUUCGGAAACGAAUGCUAAGACCGGAUACAUCACCAUGCUGCAUGGCAAGGUGAGGAAACACGUGAGCAAUCUGCCCGGCAGACAGGGACAACCGGCCGAAAGGCUGGCUAAUCCCUGAUAUUAUGAGGGAGGGGCAUCCUUUCCUUAUGAAAGGCCCGCAAGGGUCACUGCCGGAGGGGCUCGCGGCCUAUCAGCUAGUUGGCGGGGUUACGGCCCACCAAGGCGAUGACGGGUAGCUGGUCUGAAAGGACGGUCAGCCACAGGGGCACUGAGACACGGGCCCCACUCCUACGGGAGGC